GCUCUAUUCGUCUAUCGGUUAGGACGCAAGAUUUUCAUUCUUGAAAGGGGAGUUCGAUUCUCCCAUAGAGUA
This 72-nucleotide transfer RNA is filed under the name Porphyromonadaceae bacterium. Its description in RNAcentral is "tRNA-Glu". It matches the Rfam family "tRNA". Rfam says of the family: Transfer RNA (tRNA) molecules are approximately 80 nucleotides in length. Their secondary structure includes four short double-helical elements and three loops (D, anti-codon, and T loops). RNAcentral also lists the same sequence under 1 other name. Lineage: Bacteria; Pseudomonadati; Bacteroidota; Bacteroidia; Bacteroidales; Porphyromonadaceae. The record is from RNAcentral.